GACGAACGCUGGCGGCGUGCCUAAUACAUGCAAGUCGAACGAACUCUGGUAUUGAUUGGUACUUGCAUCAUGGUUUACAUUUGAGUGAGUGGCGAACUGGUGAGUAACACGUGGGAAACCUGCCCAGAAGCGGGGGGUAACACCUGGAAACAGAUGCUAAUACCGCAUAACAACUUGGACCGCAUGGUCCGAGCUUGAAAGAUGGCUUCGGCUAUCACUUUUGGA
This 225-nucleotide ribosomal RNA is filed under the name uncultured bacterium. Its description in RNAcentral is "partial 16S ribosomal RNA". It matches the Rfam family "Bacterial small subunit ribosomal RNA", at positions 28 to 225 of the family's 1533-position model. The record is from RNAcentral.